CAGAGGGAAAAUAAAAAAGUUCCCAAAAGGCUGUUUUUGGAGGAGUUCUGCUGGAUGUCCAAGUUACCGUCUCCUCCGCUUUCAAUCGAGAGAAUCUUCUCCCCUUCACUACCACUAAUUUCGUCUGGUGUGGAGGUCACUGAUCUCAUUCAUCACUCCCUGACAUCAUCCUCGAGGGCUGACCGUCUUAUCUCGCUGACACGUCGGGCGGCCCAGGACGAGACGCAACUCGCCUCGGAGGGAAGCUCCCCUUUUGGAUUUCUUUACCGGUGAGAGUGGGAGGAAAUGAAGAGAAAAGUUUGUUCGGGGGAAUAUCUUUGUGCCCGGAGGGAAGCUACGUGAGCCUGCUGUGACUUUGAGAAGAUCAACUCAAAGAUGGGAGUGUCUUGCGAAAGAACAAAGUGGGAUGCCUCGGCUUUGCAAACUUCCCGUUUUACAUUUUUGAUGCUUGUGCAAUAUGGAGGAAUGAAGUCAACAAGUCUUUCUCUACGUGCAUUCUGGCAUGUUGAUGUUCUCCGGCGGGAUCUUUUUAUUUAAGUGUGUGUUGAAAGACAAACUGUCAGUCACGAUGAUGGAACACGCCCAAGCCCUCAUGUGAGGACAACCGACUGUGUGUUAUUUGCCAUGGCCGGGUGGGAAAAAAAAGAACAACAAAAGACGGACGAGGGGGGCUGAGUGACAGGAUGCGGCACCUUUUUCCCCCCUGCAGACCUGCAAUGUGAUCUCAACAUGAACUACCUGCUAUCAGUUCCAAACAUUUUGAGUGACAUAAUGGAGAGAUUCUUCAACAAGUUCCAUCUGGCAGCUCAGGGAGCCGUUGAGCAUCUUCCAUGUCAGGAGAUGGAAAUAAAUUAUAUGAUUGAUUCUUUCGGUUCAGAUGAGAUAAGAGUGCACGUUCAAAAUGGGAAUUCCAAUCAUUCGUACUUCAUUCGCUCAGCUUUUCGUUAAAUCCAAACAACUGCCUCCAAUUUAAAGGUUACCGUAAUUUUCGGACUAUAAGUCGCGUUUUUUUUUCAUAGUUUGGGUGGGGGGGGCGACUUAUACUCAGGUGCGACUUAUAUACAUAUAUAUGUUUUUUUUUUUCACUUUUUUGGGCUUUUUAUGGCUGGUGCGACUUAACUCCGGUGCGACUUAUAGUCCGAAAAUUACGGUAAUCAUCUUUGAACUUUUUGCAAAGGACGCCAUUGUCAGUUCCACAAAGGAUAAAUCCUCCGUGUGCACACGGACUCACUUCUGUUUACUCAUCGCAUUCAGAAUUCAGUCCUGUUUAUGUUAGGUCAGGUGUGUUUCUUUCUCCACUUUGUAUGAAGCUGCCCUUGAACUUACCGAAGACGUUCGGCGGUACAACUACCACCCAACCUUUUGGAGAUACCAGCUCCUGCAAAAGUAAUAUUUCUAGUUAUAUUUUCAAAGGUCAAUUUCCCAUCAUAUGUCGGCUUUGACAAAAAACCUUCCACGAUAGUU
Long non-coding RNA from Syngnathus typhle (broad-nosed pipefish), 1464 nucleotides. RefSeq lists it as uncharacterized. NCBI's taxonomy places the organism in Eukaryota, Metazoa, Chordata, Actinopteri, Syngnathiformes, Syngnathidae. The record is from RefSeq and is a predicted model, not a curated record. The transcript is spliced from 3 exons.